CCUACGGGAGGCAGCAGUGGGGAAUUUUGGACAAUGGGGGCAACCCUGAUCCAGCCAUUCCGCGUGAGUGAAGAAGGCCUUCGGGUUGUAAAGCUCUUUCGCAAGGGAAGAAAACUUAUGAUCGAAUAAAUCAUGAGGUUGACGGUACCUUGAUAAGAAGCACCGGCUAACUACGUGCCAGCAGCCGCGGUAAUACGUAGGGUGCGAGCGUUAAUCGGAAUUACUGGGCGUAAAGCGUGCGCAGGCGGUUUUGUAAGUCGGAUGUGAAAUCCCCGGGCUCAACCUGGGAACUGCGUUCGAAACUGCAAGGCUAGAGUGUGUCAGAGGGGGGUAGAAUUCCACGUGUAGCAGUGAAAUGCGUAGAGAUGUGGAGGAAUACCAAUGGCGAAGGCAGCCCCCUGGGAUAACACUGACGCUCAUGCACGAAAGCGUGGGGAGCAAACAGGAUUAGAUACCCUGGUAGUCCACGCCCUAAACGAUGUCAACUAGUUGUUGGUAGAGUAAAAUCUAUGAGUAACGUAGCUAACGCGUGAAGUUGACCGCCUGGGGAGUACGGUCGCAAGAUUAAAACUUAAAUGAAUUGACGGCUGAGAGNGCGAGACGACGACGAGGGAGGAGG
RNAcentral lists this ribosomal RNA (619 nucleotides) under uncultured bacterium. RNAcentral's name for it is "bacterial SSU rRNA". It matches the Rfam family "Bacterial small subunit ribosomal RNA", at positions 338 to 948 of the family's 1533-position model. The record is from RNAcentral.